Molecule: ribosomal RNA, 254 nt
Filed under: uncultured bacterium
Lineage: Bacteria
Description: partial 16S ribosomal RNA
Rfam family: Bacterial small subunit ribosomal RNA
Source: RNAcentral
UACGGGGGGAGCAAGCGUUGUUCGGAUUUACUGGGCGUAAAGGGCGCGUAGGCGGCCACCGCAAGUCAAUUGUGAAAUCUCCGGGCUCAACCCGGAAAGGUCAACUGAUACUGCGGGGCUAGAGUGCAGAAGGGGCAACUGGAAUUCUCGGUGUAGCGGUGAAAUGCGUAGAUAUCAGGAGGAACACCGAUGGCGAAGGCAGCUCGCUGGGACGGUACUGACGCUGAGGCGCGAAAGCGUGGGGAGCAAACAGG